Molecule: ribosomal RNA, 488 nt
Filed under: uncultured bacterium
Lineage: Bacteria
Description: bacterial SSU rRNA
Rfam family: Bacterial small subunit ribosomal RNA
Source: RNAcentral
GAUGAACGCUAGCGGGAGGCCUAAUACAUGCAAGUCGAGCGGUAGAGUGACUUCGGUUGCUUGAGAGCGGCGAACGGGUGAGUAACGCGUACACAAUCUACCUUUAAGAGGGGAAUAGCCCUGGGAAACUGGGAUUAAUGCCCCAUGGCAUCACGAAGUGGCAUCGCUUUGUGAUUAAAGCUGAGGUGCUUAGAGAUGAGUGUGCGUCUGAUUAGCUAGUUGGUGCGGUAACGGCGCACCAAGGCGACGAUCAGUAGGGGGCGUGAGAGCGUGGACCCCCACACGGGUACUGAGACACGGACCCGACUCCUACGGGAGGCAGCAGUAAGGAAUAUUGGUCAAUGGAGGAAACUCUGAACCAGCCAUCCCGCGUGCAGGAAGAAUGCCCUAUGGGUUGUAAACUGCUUUUAUCUGGGAAGAAAAGUCGGCAUUUAUGCUGAUCUGACGGUACCAGAGGAAUAAGCACCGGCUAACUCCGUGCCAGCACG